UAUUAAUGGUUCGUUUGUAA
RNAcentral lists this small RNA (20 nucleotides) under Mus musculus (house mouse). RNAcentral's name for it is "piRNA piR-mmu-51313768". The record is from RNAcentral. Lineage: Eukaryota; Metazoa; Chordata; Mammalia; Rodentia; Muridae.